RNAcentral lists this ribosomal RNA (482 nucleotides) under uncultured bacterium. RNAcentral's name for it is "bacterial SSU rRNA". It matches the Rfam family "Bacterial small subunit ribosomal RNA", at positions 30 to 507 of the family's 1533-position model. The record is from RNAcentral.
AUUGAACGCUGGCGGCAUGCCUUACACAUGCAAGUCGAACGGUAACGGGCCUUCGGGUGCCGACGAGUGGCGAACGGGUGAGUAAUGUAUCGGAACGUACCUUUCAGUGGGGGAUAACGUAGCGAAAGUUACGCUAAUACCGCAUAUUCUGUGAGCAGGAAAGCAGGGGAUCGCAAGACCUUGCGCUGAUUGAGCGGCCGAUAUCAGAUUAGCUAGUUGGUGAGGUAAAGGCUCACCAAGGCGACGAUCUGUAGCGGGUCUGAGAGGAUGAUCCGCCACACUGGAACUGAGACACGGUCCAGACUCCUACGGGAGGCAGCAGUGGGGAAUUUUGGACAAUGGGGGCAACCCUGAUCCAGCCAUGCCGCGUGAGUGAAGAAGGCCUUCGGGUUGUAAAGCUCUUUCGGCCGGGAAGAAAUCGUAUGGGUUAAUACCCUGUGCGGAUGACGGUACCGGCAUAAGAAGCACCGGCUAACUCCGUG